Neogale vison (American mink) is the source of this 502-nucleotide long non-coding RNA. RefSeq lists it as uncharacterized. The record is from RefSeq and is a predicted model, not a curated record. The transcript is spliced from 3 exons. NCBI's taxonomy places the organism in Eukaryota, Metazoa, Chordata, Mammalia, Carnivora, Mustelidae.
UGACUUCCCUGGUCUAAGCCAGCUUCGGUCUCACCGGGAUUAUGGCUGCCAUCCCAUGCUCACUGUGUACUUCCUCUUGUCCUCCCUCAAGAGAAAGUAUAAAUCAGCUCUCAUCUCCCCACUGAUUCAAGUCCUCCGAAGACUGCCCAGCUGCAAUUACAGCAAAUCCCAAACAUUUCGCCUCGGUCUUCAGGCUCGUCCCCACAAGUGCCAAUCGACCUGUGGAUGACAUUGAAAAUAAAACAAAGUCCUUGGAUCCAAUACCUGAUGCUCCUCCUGACUACACUGCCAUUUAAGUUCAGCAGAUCCAAAACCUGAUGACCAUCCAGAGCAUAAUCCCCAUUAUAUAUCCGAAAUCUGAUUCUCUUGACUGUGGUCUUAUUUACAUUGACCAAGCUGAAAUUAAACUGACCCCUGGUUGAAAGAGAACAGUGUGGAAACAGAUGAGGAUAUAAAGAAGUGACUGGGCUAGCAACAAUACAGCAGUCUUCAAGUCACCAUU